RNAcentral lists this ribosomal RNA (414 nucleotides) under uncultured microorganism. RNAcentral's name for it is "bacterial SSU rRNA". It matches the Rfam family "Archaeal small subunit ribosomal RNA", at positions 459 to 872 of the family's 1478-position model. The record is from RNAcentral.
CAGCAGCCGCGGUAAUACCGGCGGCCCGAGUGGCGGUCACUAUUAUUGGGCUUAAAACGUCCGUAGCCGGGUUGGGAAAUCCUCCGGGAAAUCUGGCCGCUUAACGGUCAGAAUGCCGGAGGAUACUCCCAGCCUAGGGAGCGGGAGAGGCCGAGGGUAUUCCCGGAGUAGGGGUGAAAUCCUAUAAUCCCGGGAGGACCACCUGUGGCGAAGGCGCUCGGCUGGAACGCGUCCGACGGUGAGGGACGAAGGCCAGGGGAGCAAACCGGAUUAGAUACCCGGGUAGUCCUGGCUGUAAACGAUGCGGACUUUGUGUCGGACAAGCUAUGAGCUUGUCCGGUGCCGGAGGGAAACCGUUAAGUCCGCCGCCUGGGGAGUACGGCCGCAAGGUUGAAACUUAAAGGAAUUGGCGGG